GGAGAGUCUUUGGGAAGGAGAAGGGGAAGGAGUGUCCCACAAAUGAAUCAUAAGAUCAGAGGAUCUCAGAUUCCGAAGGAAACUUAGAGGCCAUCACUCCAUACCUGUGGAUAGGACACAUGAGUCCCUCCUCCAGAGGAGAUGAAACUCCGAAUGUGAAAGAUGCUCUCCUAACACCAGGAGGAAAAGAACAUUUUUAUCACCAGAGAUGGGGAGUCAAGGUCGAGGGAAAUUUGUACAAACAGACCUUAUUAAAAUAACUUUUAUCUUC
This is a long non-coding RNA of Felis catus (domestic cat), 271 nucleotides long. RefSeq lists it as uncharacterized. The record is from RefSeq and is a predicted model, not a curated record. Lineage: Eukaryota; Metazoa; Chordata; Mammalia; Carnivora; Felidae. The transcript is spliced from 2 exons.